Molecule: non-coding RNA, 107 nt
Organism: Kwoniella heveanensis BCC8398
Lineage: Eukaryota; Fungi; Basidiomycota; Tremellomycetes; Tremellales; Cryptococcaceae
Source: the annotation of a GenBank genome assembly
GCACUAAUCGUCUAGUGGUUAGGAUGGCUCCCUUCCAAUCACCAUCCUUUCGAGGAUGCAGGAAGAGCGAUUAGGAGUCGACCGGCGUUCGAAUCGCCGUUAGUGCA